AGAGUUUGAUCAUGGCUCAGAUUGAACGCUGGCGGCAUGCCUAACACAUGCAAGUCGAACGGUAACAGGCAGAGCUUGCUCUGUGCUGACGAGUGGCGGACGGGUGCGUAACACGUAGGAAUCUGCCUAGUAGUUGGGGAUAGCCCGGAGAAAUCCGGAUUAAUACCGAAUACGAUCUACGGAUGAAAGGGGGCCUCUUCUUGAAAGCUCUCGCUAUUAGAUGAGCCUGCGUCGGAUUAGCUAGUUGGUGGGGUAAUGGCCUACCAGGGCAACGAUCCGUAGCUGGUCUGAGAGGACGAUCAGCCACACUGGGACUGAGACACGGCCCAGACUCCUACGGGAGGCAGCAGUGGGGAAUAUUGGACAAUGGGCGAAAGCCUGAUCCAGCAAUGCCGCGUGUGUGAAGAAGGCCUGCGGGUUGUAAAGCACUUUCAAUUGUGAAGAAAUGCUUAAGAUUAAUAAUCUGAGU
Molecule: ribosomal RNA, 469 nt
Filed under: uncultured bacterium
Lineage: Bacteria
Description: bacterial SSU rRNA
Rfam family: Bacterial small subunit ribosomal RNA
Source: RNAcentral